Molecule: ribosomal RNA, 162 nt
Filed under: uncultured beta proteobacterium WSB28
Lineage: Bacteria; Pseudomonadati; Pseudomonadota; Betaproteobacteria
Description: partial 16S ribosomal RNA
Rfam family: Bacterial small subunit ribosomal RNA
Source: RNAcentral
UUGGUGAGGUAAAGGCUUACCAAGGCUUCGAUCAGUAGCUGGUCUGAGAGGACGACCAGCCACACUGGGACUGAGACACGGCCCAGACUCCUACGGGAGGCAGCAGUGGGGAAUUUUGGACAAUGGGGGCAACCCUGAUCCAUCCAUGCCGCGUGAGUGAAG